UUCCGGUUGAUCCUGCCGGACCUGACUGCUAUCGGAUUGAUACUAAGCCAUGCGAGUCAUUGUAGCAAUACCAGGCAUACGGCUCAGUAACGCGUAGUCAACCUACCCUAUGGACGGGGAUAACCUCGGGAAACUGAGAAUAAUACCCGAUAGAACAUUAUUCCUGGAAUGGUUUAUGUUUCAAAUAAUUUAUUGCCGUAAGAUGGGACUGCGGCCUAUCAGUUUGUUGGUGAGGUAAUGGCCCACCAAGACUAUUACAGGUACGGGCUCUGAGAGGAGUAGCCCGGAGAUGGGUACUGAGACACGGACCCAGGCCCUAUGGGGCGCAGCAGGCGAGAAAACUUUGCAAUGUGCGAAAGCACGACAAGGUUAAUCCGAGUGGUUUCUGCUAAAGGAACCUUUUGACAGUCAUAGAACCACUGUUGAAUAAGGGGUGGGCAAGUUCUGGUGUCAGCCGCCGCGGUAAAACCAGCACCUCAAGUGGUCAGGAUGAUUAUUGGGCCUAAAGCAUCCGUAGCCUGCUUUGUCAGUUUUCGGUUAAAUCCAUACGCUCAACGUAUGGGCUGCCGGGAAUACUGCACAGCUAGGGAGUGGGAGAGGUAGACGGUACUCGGUAGGAAGGGUAAAAUCCUUUGAUCUAUUGAUGACCACCUG
Molecule: ribosomal RNA, 654 nt
Filed under: uncultured archaeon
Lineage: Archaea
Description: bacterial SSU rRNA
Rfam family: Archaeal small subunit ribosomal RNA
Source: RNAcentral